UUCUUAUCCAGAGAGAUGGAGGGAUUUGGCCCUUUGAAGUCUCAGCAACCGGCCUUUGGCAAUGGUGCUAAUUCCAAUAGGUAAUGUACCUAGGAGAUAAGAA
Molecule: non-coding RNA, 103 nt
Filed under: Shouchella clausii KSM-K16
Lineage: Bacteria; Bacillati; Bacillota; Bacilli; Caryophanales; Bacillaceae
Also listed under: 1 other name
Description: Bacillus clausii KSM-K16 SAM riboswitch aptamer (S box leader)
Rfam family: SAM riboswitch aptamer (S box leader)
About the family: The SAM riboswitch is found upstream of a number of genes which code for proteins involved in methionine or cysteine biosynthesis in Gram-positive bacteria. The SAM riboswitch acts at the level of transcription termination control.
Source: Rfam by way of RNAcentral